GCUGAACCAACGCCCAAACCAACAACAGAACCACAACCUUCUGCACCAGCAACACCAGCAAAGCAAACAGCAGAUGCCCAAGCUGCCAAGCGCGAAGCCUCUGUCCGGACUGUUACUUUUGAGGCAGGCCCUCCCAAAACCGAACCAGCAGCAACAAAAGCUCCACAACCUGCAACAGCAGUCAGUCCCCAGGCUCCUGCAGGUCCCACCAUUCCUCCUGCAGUGGUCCCUUUAACGACUGAGCCAGUACCAAAACCAACAACAGAACC
Molecule: non-coding RNA, 269 nt
Organism: Pantherophis guttatus
Lineage: Eukaryota; Metazoa; Chordata; Lepidosauria; Squamata; Colubridae
Source: RefSeq, a predicted model, not a curated record